GGCCUGAUAGCACAACUGGAUAGUGCAUCACCUAACUAUUGUAAUGAGAGCUGGUAGGAGAUGGAGGAUCCCUGUUCGACUCAGGGUCAGGCCG
Non-coding RNA from Mycena rosella, 94 nucleotides. NCBI's taxonomy places the organism in Eukaryota, Fungi, Basidiomycota, Agaricomycetes, Agaricales, Mycenaceae. The record is from the annotation of a GenBank genome assembly.